GGGUGGCCGGCUCCUUUUCACUGGGGACGGGCAGGUUUUCACGCUGGUCGGGCCGCCAGCG
This 61-nucleotide non-coding RNA is filed under the name Sphingomonas sp. RNAcentral describes it as "Li+-I sequence". It matches the Rfam family "nhaA-I RNA". From Rfam's summary of the family: Acidobacteria, Alphaproteobacteria, Betaproteobacteria and Gammaproteobacteria, Verrucomicrobia, cand. division NC10. Downstream gene Lineage: Bacteria; Pseudomonadati; Pseudomonadota; Alphaproteobacteria; Sphingomonadales; Sphingomonadaceae. RNAcentral also lists the same sequence under 1 other name. The record is from RNAcentral.